RNAcentral lists this ribosomal RNA (458 nucleotides) under uncultured bacterium. RNAcentral's name for it is "partial 16S ribosomal RNA". It matches the Rfam family "Bacterial small subunit ribosomal RNA", at positions 338 to 795 of the family's 1533-position model. The record is from RNAcentral.
CCUACGGGAGGCAGCAGUGGGGAAUAUUGCACAAUGGGGGAAACCCUGAUGCAGCGACGCCGCGUGAGUGAAGAAGUAAUUCGUUACGUAAAGCUCUAUCAGCAGGGAAGAAAUACUGACCUUACGGUCAGCAGACGGUACCUGAGUAAGAAGCCCCGGCUAACUACGUGCCAGCAGCCGCGGUAAUACGUAGGGGGCAAGCGGUAUCCGGAUUUACUGGGUGUAAAGGGAGCGUAAACGGUGCGCCAAGGCUGGAGUGAAAGGCCGCGGCUUAACUGCGGAACUACUGUGGAAACUGGCGAACUAGAGUGCGGGAGGGGUAAGCGGAAUUCGUAGUGUAGCGGUGAAAUGCGUAGAUAUGAGGAAGAACACCGGUGGCGAAGGCAGCUUACUGGACCGGAACUGACGUUGAGGCUCGAAAGCGUGGGGAGCAAACAGGAUUAGAUACCCCAGUAGUC